UCCCUAACUUGACGGCGCGGAGACUUCUGGGAAAUAGAGUCCUGGUGCUUGUCCCGCUCUCCGGGCGGGCUUUGGCAGGCGGAUUUCGGGCGUCCCCCUGCGCAGGUGCGCCUCACGGUUCGUGCGUGUUGGCGCACGCGCACCAUUGCCGCGCCGCCCUCGCUUCCAGUGCGUGCCCAGGUCCCUGCUGGUCGUUGUUCAGGUCCUGGCGGCUGGCGGGUCCGCCUCCACUGUCACAGUCCUGCACGUUGUUCCAAGAGCAGCGGAAAAUGAAUCGGCCUCCGGUACAUUGUUUUCAGUGCUCAAUCCAGGGAUGCCGUGAGGAUCAUCUGGAGGAACUGCCUUGUCCCCCUUCAAGUAAAUGUCCCGCUUUGUCUCUUACAAUCUAACGGGGUCGCGUUACACACCAGGUAGUGAUGUCUCUGGCAAAGAUUCCUUAUUUCCCAUCUGAAUUUUAUCGUGCAGCCUGUGGUCUUGGUUCUGCCCCUUCCCGGAACCUGAUCCAGUUGAGGUGACCUGUCAUCCAGCAUACAAACCAGUGGAGAUUUGCCAGUCCUCACUUCAGACCACUGUCGCCUUCCCAUCUGCAGAGUCUCCUAUGUUGGUUUCUGUGACAGAUCUCUCCUUGCUCUCUUCCUGACUGAUUCUUUCUUCCGUCCUCUUUGUGUGUUGUCUUUUUCCUCUUGGUUCAUGACUCUUAAAGCUGUCUGAUCUCACCCUCUGGUGCUUUUCACCUCCAGCUCUGUCAGUUCUCCCACCUGGACCAGACAGAUGCCUCUGUCCAGCCACUUGCCAGCAUCUCUAUGGAGUUUGUCCAAAGGGCAUCUCAAGUGACUAGACCCAGUAGAUCCAAAAAUGAUUAUUUACAGCUCCCCCGCCCCUUGCCUUCUCCUUUUGUCCCUGCCGGCUCAUCGUUGCAUCAUCCAGCCUGUCACCCUACCCAGAAAAAUGGGUUCAUUGUAGAGUCCUUCUCCAUCCUCUGUUAGCACGUUGUAGUGUUAGGCUUGUUAAUGUCGUAUUCUAAACGGUUUUUAUUCGUUCCUCUUUAUCCCAUACUUGUACCAUUAAAAUAGCUUAUUUUUUUAUUUCUGUAGUUACAGAACCUUUUUUUUCUGUGCUGCUACCUCUUUCCUCCACCAGCUCAAGUGUAUUUUCCACGCUGAGUAUUUCUCCUAAAAUAUGAAUCACAGCAGUUUGUCUCCACGUGGGAAGCACUUUAGAGGUUCCCUGGGUGACUGGACAAACGAGGUUGCCGUUUUGUGGAGCCGUUAACCCUCGAGCCCAGCACUGGGGGGAGGUCGUCACUCGCUGCUGAUGCGUUUGGAUGGGUCUGUGGGGUGAGAUCCUGCUCGGAGAGGCUUAGGAGAGAGGAGUGGGAGAACGGGGUUUGUUGUGUUCCUAGCUUUUUCAAGACGUUUUGCUGUGACGGGGAAAAGAGAAAUUGGACAGUAGCUGGAGUAGGAGCUGAGGUCUGGGGCGGGUGUAGUGUUGUGUUGUGCUGUGUCGUAACGGGAGAAACAACAGCGGGAAUGAUCCAGUAGACGCGUGUGGGAGCGGGGAGAGCUGCGGCCCAGGGUCCUGGCGUGGGGAGGGGGUGGCAGAGCUGGGGUGCAGGUGGAGAAGCCCUCCGAUGGCUUCUCUGUUCUCAGGGAAGCAGCUCCUCAGCUGAGGGUGAGGGUGAGGUUGGGGGCUGGAGGAGAGGGCAGCGCUCUGGGGCCCAGCUCCAUCCUGACCAUCAGCACACACCGUUCCGCCAGCCGGGAAGACUGUCUUUGCCUUCUCUGCCUGAAAAGCCAUCUCCUUUCUUAAAUGUGGGAGUAAUUACUCUUUGGGGAGCCUGUGUGAUUCCACGGGUACUUCUCAGCUCAAAGCGCAUUGAGUGCCAGUUCUGGCCACGGACAUUUUCUGCUCUGCUGAUGGAAGGCUCCCCAGAGGAAGUGUCCUGCUUGCCUGGCUCUUGGCUUUGGCGACCCUUCACACCAUCUAGUGUUGUAUCUCUUUUCUUAGACAUAAACAUCCAGUGUCUUCAGGUUCUGCAUGUGAUCUUAAGAAUCAAUUCUCUGCUUCCGGGAGCUUCUCUUCGCCUCAGGAAAGGCACUUCACAGACGUAAUUACAGGAGAGGACGGGAAUCCUGCCCGUCGAUACGUAGGGAACUCCAGAGUGCUGACAAAGCAGAGCCUGCUUUUCUCUCUUUCUUUCUUUCUUUUAAUUUUUAUUUAUUUACGUAUUAAUUUAUUCGUUUUUGGCUGCGUUGGGUCUCUGUUGCCGCGCGCGAGCUGUUUUCUCUAGUUGCGGCGAGCGGGGGCUACUCUUCGUGGCGGUGCGCGGGCUUCUCAUUGCGGUGGCUUCUCUUGUUGCGGAGCACGGCUUCUAGGCAUGCGGGCUUCAGUAGUUGUGGCUCGCGGGCUCUAGAGCGCGGGCUCAGUAGUUGUGACUCACGGGCUUACUUGCUCCGCAGCAUGUGGGAUCUUCCCGGACCAGGGUUCGAACCCGUGUGCCCACCAUUGGCAGGCGGAUUCUUAACCACUGCGCCACCAGGGAAGCCCGAGAGCCUGGUUUUAAAUGCAUUGUCAGAGCACGUGGCUCAGUGACUCGGGGAAGGGUGACGGCCCUCACGUGACCAGGACUUGGGAAGCUGCAGAGGUUGGCGAGGCUCUCAGAGCAGCGUGAGGUGGGCUGGAUGAGGCUCCUGAGGUGCUGGUAAGGACCUCCUUCCUUAGGAUGUGGGCCUCCUGUCAGGACCAGCGGGACGCGAAUGCAGGUGGACCCUGAGGUUGACUGAAGAGCCUCCCCUGUGUGCUGGUUUUGCUUUCAUCCUGUGGAGAAAGUGAAACCUUGUAAUUGGGACAGUGAGUCAUCUGAUCAAAAGAUGUCAUGUGUAGAGACUGUGGACGGCAUGAAACGCGGGGUGGGGUGCGGUGGGUCAAGUCAGGGGGACUCUGGGCUCCAGCGCGAUGCCCGACAGGAAGGGGCGAGGCCGCGGCGUGUUCCCGCUGGUCCUAGGCCCCGGUAAACGGUAUGGACGUUCCCUUGGGGUUUUUCCUUAAUCGCGAAUGAGGUUGAGAGCGUUUUCACGUGCUGAGAAGCUGUUUCUUCAUUUUAACUGAUAGACAGAUUUUAGAGCGGUUUUAGGGUUACAGGAGAGUCGAGCAGACAGCAGUUUCCUAUCCCCGUCCCUCUGGGUUCCCUCCCUUGAUAACGUCUCGCGCUUGUGUGGCGUGUCGUCUCAGUGGUGGAUCAGCACGGACACCUAGUUCUCCCCUGGAGUCUGUAGCUUAUACUAAGGCUCACUCUCUGUGUCCUGCUGUUCAGGUUUGGACACGUGUGAUGACCUGCAGCCACCACUGCAGUGCCACCCAGAACCAUUUCAGUGCCCGAAACAUCCCUGGGGGCCACCUGUUCAUCCCCCCCCAAUGCCCCCAAACCCCCGACAGCUGCUGGUCUUGUUACUGUCUGUGUAUUUUUGCCCUUUCCAGAAUGUCACGUAGUUGGAAUUCUUCAGUCUGUGGUCUUUUCAGACCGGUGUAUUUGUUUUUAUAUGAAGGGCCUGUUCAUGUCCACUGCCCGUCUUCCUGCCCCAAUACUGUCUUUUUUUGUUUUGUUUUGUUCUGUUUUGUUUUCCUUGUCUUAUUGACUUACAGAGUCUUCCUAAAUGUUUUUAAAUCUUUCCAGUUGGGGUCAUGUUAGUAAACAUUGUUUUCCAAGUUUUAUUGUCUUUUUCCUGUAUUUUCCAGCAUUAGUAUGUAAUUCAUUACUUUUCUUUACUUUGAGAAGUUGAAUACUGUGCAUUUGAAAAGUUUCUCAAAAUCAGCACGUUUGUGUGGGUAAGAUUCCUAGUUGAACAGCACCCUCCGUGGUCAGUACUGGAGUGCAGCUUCUUUGCGGGGGGAGGCGGGGGAGGUGGGAGGAAUGCAUCGGUUCUUCGUUCCCGUUUCUGGUUCUGGGCACUGCAUCAGCCACUCUCCUGGGACAGGCCAGGCAGGUGGGGUCCUCACUUGCUGUCUCUGGAGGCUGUGUGUGUCUGAGAACACCUUUCUUUUUCCCUGUCGAGCGAGAGGACUCUUUUGGUUGGGGAGCGGCGUCCUAGGACUGCGGCCCUUGGGCCCCCGAUGUUCUGUGUCAUUUGGGCCCCAGCCAUGCGUGGGAGAUCUCUGACACACGGACACCGCUGUUAAAGUCCUCUUGGGUUUUUGUCGUUUACAAUCCUCUGAGGAAUACUCCUUUUCUCUAAUGGAAUUCCAGUGCUUAAGCUUUCUAGCCACUCAUGAAAGGAAUCUCAGAAAGCAAAGGAGACCGGUCCUCUCUGCCCCCAAGCAGGGGAGUGAGCCGACACUGUUAGCCUCACGCUGAGAACAUGGCUUGUGGGAAAUGUGUAACCAGUGCUGCGUUCUGUGAUUACAAGGCCGUCUGUGGAAUCUUACUGUACCAAGUGGUCUUUUUUUUUUUUUUUAAAUUGUAUGUAUGUAUGUAUGUAUGUAUGUAUGUAUUUAUUUAUGGCUGUGUUGGGUCUUCGUUUCUGUGCGAGGGCUUUCUCUAGUCGCGGCAAGUGGGGGCCCCUCUUCAUUGCGGUGCGCGGGCCUCUCACCGUCGUGGCCUCUCUUGUUGCGGAGCACAGGCUCCAGACGCGCAGGCUCAGUAGUUGUGGCGCACGGGCCUAGUUGCUCCGCGGCAUGUGGGAUCUUCCCAGACCAGGGCUCGAUCCCGUGUCCCCUGCAUUGGCAGGCAGACUCUCAACCACUGCGCCACCAGGGAAGCCCCCAGGUGGUCUUUUAAGACACAUACGUCAUGGGUUGUUCCCUUGUGUUUUGAAACGAACCUAAAACCCCUAAAUAUUUGCAGUUCUGAUUGCUUUCUUAAUUUGUUAUCCAGGUUUUCUGAAAUCCGUUUUCUUAAAGUUUAAAAUGCAAGAAGAGUGCAAUUUUCUGAUCCUCCCUUUUCAUAAAAGUGAACGUGGGCAAGCCACUUAACCCAUCACCAAAUAGAAAAUCAUUUGGAACAUUCACAAUAAUGCUGUUUUCAAUCAACAACAGUGCAUGUAUUUUUAUGCCUGCUACUGGUGAAACUACAAUGUUUUCUUAUUGUGCUGUUUUUUUCUCAUCAGGCAAAAAGUACAAGCAAUUAAACCCCCCCGCCCUUACAAAUCACACAUUUUGUGAAAUUACAAAUGCAAAACCAGAAAGUAGAAUAAUGUGUGCGUGAUUCUACUUAUGCAUUAUAAUUAGACUAGUUCAUGGUCUGAUCCCUCCCUCUCUUGCAUUUGGUAAUA
Molecule: long non-coding RNA, 5267 nt
Organism: Balaenoptera acutorostrata (minke whale)
Lineage: Eukaryota; Metazoa; Chordata; Mammalia; Artiodactyla; Balaenopteridae
Exons: 3
Source: RefSeq, a predicted model, not a curated record